CUGGAGGCACUGGGAGCAUCUGUUGCAGGCCUUUCUCUGGGUGCCUGGUGUCACUGGUCAUCCUUGGCACUUCUUUGCUGGCCAAGGAUGCAUCACUGUGACCCUCGUCUUUACAGGGCUUCACGCUGUGUCUGUCCACGCGCGGAUGUCGUCUUGUAAGGACACCAGCCACACCGAUGAGAGGCCAUCUUCCUCCACUUUGACCUCAUCUUAACUAAUUACAUCUGCAACUGUCCUAUUUCCAAAUAAGGUCACGUUCUAGGGUAGCGGAGAGUAGGACUUCAACACAGCUUUUUUUGAGGGAAGACGCAAUUCAACCCACAGCUCCCCCAAAUGCGUUAUUCACUCUGUUCUGUGCCCUGUGGCAUGACCCUGUGGCCUGCCCUCUUUGCUGUGCUCUGGUGCUUUAGCCUCGGUUAGAAUUCCUGCAGGAGUUUCCCAGGAGACCAGAAGGAACAAGCUCAAACUUCGUUGUAGUCUUUUCUGCAACUACCUUUGCUGAGAAGACGUGCUCUCCUCCCUCUCUGCCACAUGCCUGCUCACAGUACAGUUACUGGUUGGCUUGCUCCUUUUCGGCGCCGCAGCACGCACCCCACAACACGGUCAGCACAACCUUGUCCCUUGGCCCUGUGGGACUCGUGGCCUGGACCCAUUGUCUGCUCACUUUCUUGGAAUGUGGCCUCAGGCCCUGGCUUCCUGGGCCCUUUUCUAAAGAGGACCCUUCCUUCGUCCCUCUAAGAUCCUCCCCUCACACUCCAUGGCUUUGGGCUGUCUUAUCAGCUGGGGCUGCCAUAACAAAGAACCACAGACCAAGGGUUAAACAACAGGCAUUCAUUUUCUCACGGUUCUGGAGGCUGGAAGUGCAUGACCAAGGUGCUAGCAAAUGUGGUUUCUGACGCAGACAAAAGUUGAAGAACCCUGAGGCACUGCUCUAGCCACGGUGUAAAAGCAUUGAGCCAGCUCAUAUGGAAGACCCAGUCAAGUCACCAGUAUCUGCAUUUGUGCUUGUUAACGUUCGUGGCUCAGGAGGCCUACCUUCUGAUUAAGUGUUCUCAUGUAAAAUCAUCCAAAUACUCCCUAUUAAUUUUAUUUUGAUAUAUGGAUGAAUAAUAAAAGAUUAUAUCUCCAUGUC
RNAcentral lists this long non-coding RNA (1132 nucleotides) under Homo sapiens (human). RNAcentral describes it as "HSALNT0309618". Lineage: Eukaryota; Metazoa; Chordata; Mammalia; Primates; Hominidae. The record is from RNAcentral.